RNAcentral lists this long non-coding RNA (358 nucleotides) under Elaeis guineensis (African oil palm). RNAcentral describes it as "long non-coding RNA (EGUI_LNC075367)". Lineage: Eukaryota; Viridiplantae; Streptophyta; Magnoliopsida; Arecales; Arecaceae. The record is from RNAcentral.
CCUAUAUGGACCGAAGUCCGGAACCUCAGGUCUUCCCGAAGAAUAAGCUAUGUCGGAUUCAGAUCUAUAUUUUUAAUAUUAUCUCCCGAGCUUAAUGUCUCGGAGGUAACACUCCUAACGUCAUCGUCCAAGCUUAAUGCCUCAAAGCUCGCACUCCUAAAGCCGUCACCUGUGCUUCAGGUGUCGAUAGAAAAGCUAGAGUCACUCAUAGCUGAAAAAAAGAGGGACUGACCUAAAAGUGAAGUGGCCGAGCAAAUAGGGGAUGAGGAACAAAGGAAGACUAACUAGCUCGGCUUUACUUGAGCAGGUUUGUAGAAUCACCAAAGUGCCAGAGUUAUCCCUUUUGAAUAGUAGAAGC